AGGCUCCUGUCAGAGUAACACAUCCAUUCCGAGCUGGCAUCGGAAACAGGAGCAUCGGCAGUGUCAGAACAGGGAAUAACAGUGCUAGUCCUAGUUAAUGAAUAUAUGGGAGGGAAGGGCAGUGGGAGUGAACAACCAUCCAUCCCUGUGUGCUGUUGGACUGACUGCCCAGAGCAUGGGCAGGUUUCUGUCCCUCAUGUUCUCUUUUUGGGAAAUCAAACCAACUGGGAAAAGAGCUGUCUUGAUCCCCUGUACUGCGCUGAUGGAUACUGCCUUCUCUCAGGGAGAUCCCUGCCAUCCCCCUUCAACAUCAUCAAAGAAACUGUGAGCCUGGAGUAACUGGAUAAAAGCCCUUCAAAAUGAGAACCUUCCUCGACAGUCUCAUUCCUGAUCAGAAAUGCCUCUCCACGGAAGCCUGCAGAGCUCUCUGUUCAUGCCAGUGUAAUGACACUUAAUGCCAUUGCUUGCUGCAAUUCUGUUUCCUGAAGGAGGAGAGUCCCUGGAGGGAUCAGUCACACCAUGCUGCAAACCAGGAGGAAUGUCUCUACGUGGGUUUGCUUAGAAAAGAGCUUCUGACAACAAAUCACAGGCUGUUCUACUGUGCAGUCUCCAUAGAAAACAAGGUUCGUUUAGGGGUGUGGAGUAAGAACUGUGUCCCUGGGCAGAAUCAGCAGUAUUUCCAGGUCAGUGAGAAUCAAAUCUGUUGAUAGCAGUUCAUGAUUACUGCCCAGAGAAUCUCUUUGCUCUGCUUUGUCCUGCCUGAGGCAAACUGAGAGGUAAAUCAGGAGAGCUGUCAGAGAGCUUCCUCACGGAGAGCUUCCUCAUGGAGAGCACCCUCACGGAGAACUUCUUCAUGGAGAGCACUCUCCUGGAGAGCAUCCUUCCUCCACACUGCCGGACACGCCAUCCCCACCGUGCAGACCAGUUAUUUGUGAACACCUGAAAGCUGCUGUGUUAGCCCUUCUCACACACUGGCUCUUCUGGAGUGGACAACCUCGGAGCUGGUCACCUGGGAUCAUUGUGCUCUGGGAAGCCUUCCCGGACUUCGCUCUGAGAGGUGGGGAUGCUCAGCUGAUGUAAGGGAGAGCUGCUGUGGGAUGCUGCACACUGUGGAACACUUGGUCCCUCCUCCAUCUGCAGAUACCAACAGAUAUCACGGUAAACUCCAGCCCUGCAAAAUAGCAUCUCCUGUGUGUAAGCCAGCACAGCACAAAAAUCCAUGUGAAACAAGUCGCCAAGUGCUGACUUCAGGUGAGGCAGAUGCCCACUCCCGAGUAUUGACUGCUACUGAUCAAGAAAGUUUUUUUCCUUUUUUUAAUUAAAGUUUUCAGAUGAUAUUGCUAACACAGAGCAGAACCAAACCAGGUGUAAUUAGCUGCGGAGCAAAUGAGGCUGUUCAAUUCACAAGAGUUUUGAUUUCCACUUUCCAGAAGUGCAGCACUUCAUCUCUCAUGGGAAGGGUUCAAACUCAGGAUCUCAGGAUCCUGCUGGGAUUUGGCAACUUAUUUCCAUGAGCUGAUUGUCAACAGUGGUGAAAUUAAUGACAGUGCUAUGAACAAUCUACAUCUGCCCAUCACCUCGUGAUGUGUUAGGCAUGCACAUAUCACACUUGCAAUGAAAUUAAUUACAGAAUGACACAGGAUCCUCCUUGCAAAUACACCGACACAUCAGGCAGCCCUGUCAGCUUUAUUGUGUGUCAUAGUCUCAGCAAACCCGUUUCUUUCAAGAAUUUGCAACUUGUUUCAGACUGCUAAACACAACCUUCCAUUUAGCAGUUUGUACAGUUUAAGAGAUUGACUUGUAAAACGAUUUCUGCUCCACUGACAGCAAUGUUUCAUUUCCUUUCACAUCUGUUUGAACAGUUUAUUGUAAAGCCUUCCCCCAUUGCAGUGCUUAUUGCUUCAUGUUUUUUUACUGUUCCCUUAUUACUUGAAUUAUUUUCCCUUUGUGUCCUUUACCAUCUCAAGUAUCCAAAACAAACUGGAUACGUAAGAGAGCCCGGGGCUAGACAUGUUUCCUGUGAGAGCUCUACAAUGGAAAGAAAGGGCAACAUGUACCAAGCCUUGCCCAACACCUGUUCAUGAUAUCUGUAAGUUAAAUAGUCACAUUAAAUAGUCAUCUAGUUAAAAAUAUGUGGUCAACCUUAAUAUAGAAUUUAGGCGUGGAAUUAGGCCUGGUUGUUUAACAUUACUUUAUAGGAUUUACAAGAUUAAUAUACUGCAUUAAUUGAAAUCUGCAUCACAGCAGAAAUCUGCCAUCUGCUUUAGUCACCCGGAUUGCCCCCUCCUUCCAGCGCCCAGAGCACUGUGGGCAGGAGACAGGCCCUGCCACUGCUGCGAGAGGUGUCCCCAGCCUGCAGAGCCACACCAGCCAGAGCCCUGGCACGGCCGGGGCAGGGCACCCCGGCGCCAGGAGAGGUCCCCGGGGCUCCUGCAGCUGUGACAGCUCCUCCUGGGAGCCAGCGAGGAGUGCAGUGGUCAGAGACAGCCAUGCAGUCAUAGGGAGGGUAGCGGGGGGAGCUCAGUGUGGUGUAAACAGCUGGAUUAAAGUCACUCACAGGGCAAAAGCAGAACAAAUGAAUGACAGCUUCGGUCAAGAAAGGCAGAAACCGGCUUCCACAAUGAAUUGAGUCGGGUGUGGUUUCAAUCCAGCACUUAUUGUGGAACG
Pipra filicauda (Wire-tailed manakin) is the source of this 2667-nucleotide long non-coding RNA. RefSeq lists it as uncharacterized. The record is from RefSeq and is a predicted model, not a curated record. The transcript has 4 exons. Lineage: Eukaryota; Metazoa; Chordata; Aves; Passeriformes; Pipridae.